GCGCUGUCUUUAGAGCCCCCAGGGAGCCUGCACGUGGCCCCAGGGGUCAGUCAGCAGCGUAGAGCAAAGGCUCGCGGCUAACUAGGGCCACUAGCCCUCCUUGCCAGUGGCCCAUUAAACCGCGAGCAACAUGC
Sorex araneus (European shrew) is the source of this 134-nucleotide small nucleolar RNA. NCBI's taxonomy places the organism in Eukaryota, Metazoa, Chordata, Mammalia, Eulipotyphla, Soricidae. The record is from Ensembl.